Molecule: ribosomal RNA, 301 nt
Filed under: uncultured bacterium
Lineage: Bacteria
Description: partial 16S ribosomal RNA
Rfam family: Bacterial small subunit ribosomal RNA
Source: RNAcentral
CAGUAGCCACGGGAACACGGAGGAUCCAAGCGUUAUCCGGAAUCAUUGGGUUUAAAGGGUCCGUAGGCGGUCUUGUAAGUCAGUGGUGAAAGCCCAUCGCUCAACGGUGGAACGGCCAUUGAUACUGCAGGACUUGAAUUAUUGGGAAGUAACUAGAAUAUGUAGUGUAGCGGUGAAAUGCUUAGAGAUUACAUGGAAUACCAAUUGCGAAGGCAGGUUACUACCAAUUGAUUGACGCUGAUGGACGAAAGCGUGGGUAGCGAACAGGAUUAGAGACCCCUGUAGUCCCUGUCUCUUAUAC